RNAcentral lists this ribosomal RNA (140 nucleotides) under Vibrio parahaemolyticus. Its description in RNAcentral is "partial 16S ribosomal RNA". It matches the Rfam family "Bacterial small subunit ribosomal RNA", at positions 1 to 121 of the family's 1533-position model. RNAcentral also lists the same sequence under 1 other name. Lineage: Bacteria; Pseudomonadati; Pseudomonadota; Gammaproteobacteria; Vibrionales; Vibrionaceae. The record is from RNAcentral.
UUAAAUUGAAGAGUUUGAUCAUGGCUCAGAUUGAACGCUGGCGGCAGGCCUAACACAUGCAAGUCGAGCGGAAACGAGUUAUCUGAACCUUCGGGGAACGAUAACGGCGUCGAGCGGCGGACGGGUGAGUAAUGCCUAGG